CCCAGGGGGGUGGGCUCGGCCCCGGGGCGGGGGGGGGGGGGGGGGGGGGGGGGGGNNNNNNNNNNNNNNNNNGGCGGCGUCGGUAGCUGCACCGGGCACGGUGAGGUCGCGUCCCUCGAAACCGGUUCAGCGGCGGAGGACGGCGGCCAGGGGCCAGAGCCAGGACACGGCCCAGCCCAGCGGGUCCCAGGCCGGGGCGGCGGAGGUCCAGGCGCUGGCGGCGGCCGUCCAGUUGCCGUCGCGGUACUCGGCGCCGCCGUCGCCCGCCGCCGGCUCGCCGGCCGGCCGGGCCCGGCGCAGGGCGGCCCCCGCCGCCACGCCGGCCGCCGCUCCCGCCGCCGCCGCCCCCGCCACCCGCAGGGCCGCCCCGGCCGAGCCGUAACGGGGCACCGCCGCCCUCACCCGGCCGCGGGCGGCCCCCCGGGCCCCGCCGCGGGCGGCCCCCCGGGCGCCGCCGCGCCCGCCCUUGCCGGCCACCGCGUCGCAGAAGGCGGCGGCCAGCAGCAUCAGCGCCCAGCACGCCGCCGCGCUCCGCCGCAUCCCGCCGCUCGGCCGCACCUGGGCACAAGGGAGAGCCCGGCGCUCAGCCGCGGCCCGGCGGGGCGGGCGCGCACGCGUGUGCGCGGCGCGGCCUCGCCCGCCCGCCCGCCCCGGCCGCGGGCAGGAGGCGGCUGCCCGGGCCCCGCGCGUCGCGUGAGCUGCUGCCGCGUGUGCGCGCCCGGGCUGCGCGCGGGCGCUACUCACGCGGGUUGCGGGUGCGCGUCGCUCGUGCGCGCGCGCGCUGCCACCGCACGUGCGGCAGCCCGUGGGUUGCGUAAGCGUGCCGCCUCGCGCGCGCAGGCCACGCGCCUGUGCGCGCCCCACGCAUGGCCGCACGCGCAGGCACGGCUGCGCGGCUUGCCCACCCGCGCCGCUCUGCCGAACGCAGCAGCCCGUGGGUGCGGGCGCGCGGCUCACGCGCACUCAAGCGGGUCCCUCGGGCGCGCCUGUGCACGCGCGCCACACAUCCACACGCCCCCCCACACACACACACCCCCCCGCAGCAGCACGCACGCGUGCACGCGCACGGCCGCGGGGCACGUUCGUGGCCCCCCCCCACCCCGGCACCCUCUCCCGCCGGCCGGGCUCACCGGGCCCGGGGCUGCCGCUGGCUCCCUCCGCUCCGCUCCGCUCUGCUCCGCUCCGCUCCUCCCCGCCCGCGCUCCCGCCGCCGCGCUCCCGCCGCCGCCGCCCCCCCCCCCAACUCCAGGCACGGGGUCGCGCGGUCGGGGCCGCGCAGCGGCAGGG
RNAcentral lists this long non-coding RNA (1287 nucleotides) under Accipiter nisus (Eurasian sparrowhawk). RNAcentral describes it as "lncRNA (ENSANIG00000008292.1)". The record is from RNAcentral. Lineage: Eukaryota; Metazoa; Chordata; Aves; Accipitriformes; Accipitridae.